GAUGAAGAACGUAGCGAAAUGCGAUACGUAAUGUGAAUUGCAGAUUUCAGUGAAUCAUCGAAUCUUUGAACGCACAUUGCGCCCGCUAGUAUUCUGGCGGGCAUGCCUGUUCGAGCGUCAUUUCAACCAUCAAGCCCUAGGCUUGCGUUGGAGCCCUGCGGCUGCCGCAGGCUCCCAAAUCCAGUGGCGGGCUCGUCGUCGUACCGAGUGCAGUAAACAUCCUCGCUCAGGGAACGUGACGGGUUCUUGCCGUGAAACCCCCCACAUAUCAAGGUUGACCUCGGAUCAGGUAGGAAUACCGGCUGAACUUAAGCAUAUCAAUAAGCGGAGGA
RNAcentral lists this unclassified non-coding RNA (332 nucleotides) under soil metagenome. RNAcentral describes it as "partial contains 5.8S ribosomal RNA, internal transcribed spacer 2, and large subunit ribosomal RNA". The stretch from base 1 to 120 matches the Rfam family "5.8S ribosomal RNA", at positions 35 to 154 of the family's 154-position model. The record is from RNAcentral.